RNAcentral lists this long non-coding RNA (6364 nucleotides) under Sus scrofa (pig). RNAcentral describes it as "lncRNA (ENSSSCG00000063085.1)". Lineage: Eukaryota; Metazoa; Chordata; Mammalia; Artiodactyla; Suidae. The record is from RNAcentral.
AAUACUCUCACCAGAAUUAACGAAUAUGUACAUACUACAAAAAUCUCACUAAAGAAUUUGCAAAAAUCUUCCUAUUUAUUUCAAAGCCAAAGAAAGAAAAAGAAAAACCUGCAACUUACAAAACACUAGGUUUUGUCAUACAACAGCCAAGUUUCAAACUUAUACAAUUUUAAAGAGGUAUGAUAUUAAACCAUUAAAAAUUCAACAGUGAAUGUAUAAAAUAGGUUUGUUAAGCAAAUAUAAGGUACCAUUAGCACACUGAAGCAUUUUUAAUAACCUUUCAUUUAACUGCAUAAUGACUACGUCUGUUCUUAGCGCCUUGCUUUCAAUUUGAAAGCUUUUCUGUUUUAUAUUGUUGCUUGUAUGCCAGCUGCCUUGCUUUGUUUUGUUUGAAGAAGUGAGGACAAGUGAAAGAACAGGCUUAAAGGGGGGAAUUGUUGGACGACUUACUACUAUUAUCUUCUGUGCCCUGGGAUGCAGUGGAGACCAUUUGCAGAAGUGACUUGGUCUUCUCUCUCACUCCCUUCCACUUUCUAUCCAAGUUUCAUCAUCUUGGUUUGGAAACAGAUUUUUUUGGAUCAAAUCUCAGAUCUUGUCAUCAAGAUUUUUCAUUCCUCUCCUAUCUGCAGUAUCCACUAGCAAUUCUUCCCUAGGGCCUAACUGUAUAUACAGGACUUCACUGUCAAGUCAAGGGCAGGACCAAAUGAGCCAUUAGCAGUAGCAACUUGGAGCCCAAAGCCAAGUGUAGCAAGAGACUAUCCAGGUGGUCAAAAACCUUAGAGAAGCCUAAUAACAAAGGAACAGUCUCUACACCGUGUCAUCAUAUGAUUUAACCAACAAAGCAAUGACACGAUAUUUUUCUCCCACUAUUAACAAAAGAACAAUAAUUUUAAAGCCUUUAUUCAUUUCUUGAACUUCGAAGAUAAAUAAUGAAGUCGAUGAGAAAAGUGGUGUCCAGUUCACUAAAUUAUCCUAAGAUAUCAUUCUAAAUGCAAACUUUCACUAAAUUUUGUAUGUAACUGAUUAGUCUGUCUGUUUUCCAGACAGUCUACAAAAGGAAAGUACCAACCUUACCCUUUUAAUCAUUUUCAAUGGUAACAAACAUUUUAAUCAGGGAAAACUAAUAUUAGGAUGGUAGUUUUAUAGGGUUCUUGGCCAAAAUCAUGAUGGCAAUUUAAACAAAACUUUAGCAGAAGAUACUAGGGGUAGAAAGAUGCCCAUAUUGAAAAAUUGUACUUAAUUUUACAUCCAAUGAGAAAUAAUUCAUAUUUGAAUUAGGAGUUUUUUAAUUUUUUAUGUAAAAAUACCUUUAGGUGGUCAUUUGAAAUUGAUAUGUCUCAUCUUACUAUAAGUAUGACAUUUUAAAAAAACUAUCAUAAAUUAAAUGAGGGGGAAAAAUGAAGUUCCCACUGUGGCACAGAGGGUUAAGUACUCAGCGUUGUCACUGCAGCAGCUCCUGUCCCUGCUAUGGCUCCGGUUCAGUCCCUGGCCGGGGAACGUCCACAUGCUACAGGCACAGCCAAAAAAUUAAUUAAUUAAUUAAUUAAAUGGCGAAGUAUAUAGUAAAGCACCUAGCACAAUACCUGAAGACAAAUAGGAGGAUUUUUUUUUUUAAUAUUCCAAAAGAGGAGUUCCCGUCGUGGCACAGCAGAAACGAAUCCGAGUAGGAACCAUGAGGUUGUGGGUUCGAUCCCUGGCCUUGCUCAGUGGGUUAAGGAUCCGGCAUUGCUGUGAGCUGUGGUGUAGGUCGCAGACGCAGCUUGGAUCCCAAAUUGUUGUGGCUCUGGCGCAGGCCGUUGACUACAGCUCCGAUUAGACCCCUAGCCUGGGAACCUCCAUAUGCAGUGGGUGUGGCCCUAGAAAAGACAAAAAUAAAUAAAUAAAUAAAUAUUCCAAAAGAAAGCAUUCAGCUCACAUUUAUGUGUUACUUAGUCUUCUAAAAUUCUUCUGUGGCUUCCUAGGCAGUCAAAAUUUUAAAUGUGUCAGUAUAAAUGUAGAUUUUUUUUACUCACCGUUACCUUAAAAUAGAUAGCAUUUUAUUUGCUAAUUUAUAUAUACCUGUAUAAUAUAUAAAGCCAUCUCAUGUGGCUUUAAAAAGAGGUUUGACCUUAUUUGGACAAAUAAUAUGCUAUGAAAACUUAUGUAAUGCAGGUUUUUGCCUAACAGCCUUAGAUUUUUAAUGUUUAGUAGACAAAUGUCAAUUUCCCCUAGAGAAAAAUCACCUUCCUGUAAUUACUAAGACUUUAUAGGUAUUACCAUCCAUAUUACUACAAAUUUAAACACACUUAGUCCAUGUAAAUGUUCAAUAUACUGUUCCAUUUUUAUGCUUUAAAUAUUUGUAAACCUAAGGAUCUAUUUCAUAAAGUAAUUCAUAAUCAAAUUUUGUUCCAGAAUUAUUGUAAUUGGCUAUUGGCCAGAUUAAACUCUGAAAGGAGAGCAAAAACUUUCAAUAUUAAAAAAUUCUUCAUUAAAUUGUGUUUUAAGAAUCUAGAGUAUGGACCGUCAUUGGAUUUCAUCAGAGGCUUGUUUUCCCUUUUAUUUAUUUAUUUAUUUAUUUUUUGAUGUUCAAAUCUUAGUAACCAAGAAAAGUAGCAGAGGAGGGGGCUUACUUUCUAUUUCAAUUUAUUUAUAAUGCCAAGUCACAAACAUUUAGCUAGAGCCCUUAUUUCUUAUUGGUGAUGACCAAGGACUACAUAUAAUGUAGCACAUCUAGUCCUUACACUGACUAAAUGCAACUACUCCAACCAAAUCAGGCUGAUCACUGUGCAACCAGAGGGAGGAAAUUAACUGUAACCCUGGAAAGACAGACUUACUUUAGGUAGAUUGUCCAUUGACACCACAAAGGAACAUCCAAAAUAUGCUAAAAUUUCACCUUUAAAGUAUCCAGUAUUCAUCAUUGGUAAGCUGAAAAUAAUAGUUUGAUUUUAAUUUUAAUAAGCAUUUUUGUUUGUUUUUUAUUUUGUUUUUGCUGUUUUGGGCUAGUAAUUUUAUGAAAGCUUUCAUAUAACACAUUAUUUAGUUUGGGGUUUCAUUCAGAGUAUUAUGAUACUUAAAAAAUAAUCCAUGUUCUAAAGCAUAAUUGCAUGACAGUUUUGAUCUUGUUACUAUUUAGUUACAGCUUAACGAAUACUGUAUUCCUACCUGUUUUCUCAAAAAAUGAAGUCCCUAGCUUAUUAAAUAGUAUUCAGAUAAAGCAUUAUGCUGCCCAACCAGCUCACUAAAUGUAUUUAUGACCUGUCUAUACAUAGCUUAUGUGAAAACUCAAUGUUGACUUCUGUGUCUGCUGCUUUUAAAAGCUCACCAGAGUGAUUGUCUUUUAUUAUGUCAGCACAUUAUGUCACAGCGUCACCUACAUAGGCCGUGGUACAAAAGUAACUGUAAACUGCUUACUCAACAUCUAGCCCCAAAAGAUCAGAAGCAGUGCAAUAACGCCUUUAGUUAAAAUGGCUCACGGUUUGAAUCAUUUCAAUCUGUGCAUUUUUUUCCAGAAAUACGGAGGUCGUAUUUUUUUAGCUGUCUUUUCUGGCUUGUAAGUAAAAGCUCUACAUCAUAUCUACAUAGUCUAAAUAUGUCAAAUACUUCAGUUUUCAAAAAAUGUUGUCUGCUAACAAACUAAAGAGAAAUAGCUGCUGAUUUUUCCAGAGAACUGCUUGAUUUAUUUUUCAUUGCCAAUGUGGACCUGCCUUAAAUGGUUUCUUUCACCACUAUUACAUGUUAAAUAAAAGGAGGAUGUUGUGGUGAAUGACUCCCUGUCUGACAUUAGCUCUUUUCACUGGUCAAAGGAUCUCCGUUCCUCAGAAGUGACCCAUUUAGUGAUGUCCAGUAGUCAAGUGUGCACUAUUUACGUUUUGGUCUUCACAUACUGCAGUUGGAUUAUCUACAAAAUUAACAUAUAUAGACUCUCAAAGGCUAGUAUUUUGGGAGGGGAGAGGAGGUGAGCAGAUGAAGGGAGAGAAGAGGAAAGCAAAAAAGAAAAGCUAGUAGAGAAAAGCUAAUCUCCCCAAAAUGAGUUAAAUGGGGGAAACCGAAGUUGAUAAUGUACAUUUUUUGAAAAGUUGACUGGCUUUGGGGAAGGCCGUGGGUGUUUGUCUGUGUGCACGUGUGUUUAGGGUCAGGAAGGGGAACCUGAAUGAACUACUGCUUCUUCAGUUAACAUGAGUCAUACGGUUAUUACAAACAAGUACGUCUAACUCUCCAAACUCAUUAACUCAAUGUUUAAUGUUAGAAUUAUCUCACAGUUAAACUCAGGACAACUCUGUGAAUAUGCACAAAAUAAUUUUAUGAAAACUUACAGUGAAACUAUGUAACUCUCAGAGAGUAAUGCACACUAAAAAGCCUUGCUGGGGGAAUUCCAGUCAUGGCACAGCGGAAGUGAAUCCAACUAGUAUCCGUGAAGAUGUGGGUUCGAUCCCUGACCAUGCUCAGUGGGUUAACCAUCUGGCAUUGCCGUGAGCUGUGGUGUUAAGUCGCAGAUGCAGCUAGGAUCCCACGUUGCUGUGGCUGCGGCUAGGCCAGCAGCUAUAGCUCUAAUUCGCCCCCUAUAUGCUGCACAUGUGGCCCUAAAAAGCAAAAAAAGACCCAAACAAAAAAAACAAAAAGCCUUGCUGGGAAUAAUCAUGGGUGAUUUCCCUGUAAAACAGGUUGAUAAACAACCUAAUUCUUGUUUUCUCAAGUUGUAGAAAUUUUAAUUGUUUCUAUUAAGUCCCUAACAUCUCCUAGAUUGAAAAUACUCAAAACUAUUUUUAAAACCUGAGGAAUAUAGAGUACCAGAAAUUCAAAGUUAGGUAAUAGUUCUUAAAAUUACUGUAUACCUUAAGUAAUGCAAAUUCAUAUUUCUUAAGUUCCAUAUGGUAUUAGAUUUAUAGAUACGGUCCAUGAAGCAUCAUCGUCUUUUAUUAACAUUAAUGUUUUAGAGAGUUUUCAUACCAUCUGUGAAUGCUCUGAAUGCUGCAGGGGAAAAGCACAAUCAGUAUUUUAUUUUUGAAGAUUUCUCAGUUGAGUUAUCCUGUCCCAUCUACACACAUAAUAGCAUUAACAUUUCAUCCUAUAACUAUGUUGAAAUGUUUUUAAUAUAAACUCUCAGUAGAAGCCAGAGCUUGUGUACAUGUUAAAUGGUAAGUCUUGUCUAGUCUCAUUCAUCUGCCUCAACAUGCUUUAUUUCAUUCUAUUUGCAAUGUUCUGAUUUCAAUUUUGUAAAGAGAUUUAGCAGACACGUGUUUGUUCAGCUGUCCAUCCUGCACCAUUAAGACAAUGCCUUUCUCUCCCAUUUAAUGGUGUUUGUAUCAGUGUCCCCAUAUCUGCUGCAUUUGAACUCCAUAAAAAGAAAAUGUGAUUUUUGUAUUAGUAGUUUUGCUGAUCAGCUCAAUAUUUCUGCACCAAUCAGCAUCCUUAUGUGCAUGUAGUAGUCUGUAUAAUUGUUUGACAUCAAAAUACUUGUUUACUUUAUGUCAAAAUGUCUGUAAAAUUGCUGGCAUUGUUCUUCAUUCCAGUCUGGUAGAAAAAGCAAGACAGAAAAUAAAUGUGUAAAUGAAUCAUCUGUGUCAUUUCGGUUCUCUGCAUGAAAUCACUUCACAUUAAGCAUGGCAUACAUGCCCGCCACCCAACAAUCCAUGGUUUCUUGACACUUCAUUACUAACUGUGGAGGCAGGUAACUUUUGGAGGAAGUAUAGGAUAAAACUGCUAAGACCAGAGAAAAGAUAAAAGCUGGAUCCAUUGCCAAAGUCCUCUCCUUUUUGAAUGAAUCCUUUUAGUCUACAGAUACAUCACUUGGUUUAUACUUUUUAAAAGACUCAACACAUACCACCUUGCCAAAACUCUGGGGUGAGAUCAUCAAUGAAUUUUGAGAUAGUCUCCCAUGGCCAUUCCUAAAACCAAUUCAGAACAUUCCUCCUUGGGUAAAUGGAGUCUUAACUCCGGACUCCAGGGUUAGCUUCAUAAAUAGCAGGGUUAUCUAUGCAUCAGUCACACAGAGGUGCUGAUGCGUACAAGAGCCAGCAUUUAAUUUAAUGCCCUGCUGUCGCCUUUUUGAAAUUCUGAAUAAUUUUCAAGUAAGGAACCCUGUAUUUUCCUUUUCUAUUAGACCUCAUAAAGUAUAGAGGGAGGCAAAUGAUAAGACUGCCAGUUGAGGAGUUCCCACUGUGGCUCAGCGGGUCAAGAACCCAACUAGCAUUCAUGAGGAUGAGGGUUCAAUCACUGGCCUCAGCUCAGUGGGUUAAGGAUCCAGUGUUGCCAUAAGCUGCAUUGUAGGUUGCACAUGUGGCUCGGAUCUGGCACUGCUGUGGCUGUGGUGUAGGCUGGCAGCUGCAACUCCACUUCAACCCCAAGUCUGGGAACUUCCAUAUGCCACAGGUGUGGCCCUAAAAAG